GAAGAAGAGGAAGAAGCAGAAGAUGAAUUUUUCAGAACAUUUUCCUUAAAAAUAAGAAAAACAUACCGAUUUCUUUUUUAGAGCAUCCAUUUCUGUGGAUGUCCCUUCACAAUGAUCACAUCAAAAAAUCUUCUUGGAUCCUUGGAACUCUGAUUCGUUUUGGAGGAUUUGAUGUUGAGUCCUGAAUCUCUUGGGUUUCUGUCAAAAGAAUGCCAAAACGGAAGUACAAAUUGUACUUGGAGCCUCACAGUACAAUCAACGCUGAGCUAAACUGAAAAGUGGACAUUUUGAUGUGGCAGAUGACUUCAAAAACAAAUCAGGGUCACACGUUGCAGAUGUUGAGAUGGAUUGGGAUUCCCCAUUUGAAGGCACUGUUUUUCUGGAGUCGUUAAUAUAAGACGUUGGAACGAUUUCUUUAACUCCUUCGUCCAAGUAUUUAACGUAGGCAAACAUUUUUGCUUAAUUGAUCGUUUGAUGUGGUUGCCGUGUGGGUCAUCCAGAGCCCUAUAAUAGAAAUUCUACAUAAAGAAGCAGGUGCCACCCCACUCCCCGGAACGUUCCUUGCUCGCCUACACCAAGACCUGGACAACCCAGGUGGACUUGGG
Gymnodraco acuticeps is the source of this 605-nucleotide long non-coding RNA. RefSeq lists it as uncharacterized. The record is from RefSeq and is a predicted model, not a curated record. The transcript has 5 exons. NCBI's taxonomy places the organism in Eukaryota, Metazoa, Chordata, Actinopteri, Perciformes, Bathydraconidae.